CUCCUCGUGAAACCACAUGAAACAGGCGGCAACCAACCAACGAGAGCCGCAAGGGAAGUGAAAUUCAGUCUGAGAAGCAAUGAGGGUGUUUGAAUAUGGACUAGUUGUGCAGAGGAGAAAGGAUCUAACCAAAAACCAGUAUAGGAUUUCCUAUACAUUCACGCUAGUUCUCUUGGUAAGCUUAUCAACGUUUUUAAUCACAGAGGAAUUUGAACUGAGACUAUCCAUUCCAAAGCUUUCAGCCCUAAGCACCGCAGGACACCAGUCAUUAAUGCACAAACUUUCCCAUGAGAAAACCUGCAAUGUUUCCCUUGGUCUUGACUCUGCCUUGAAUGGAAUAGGUCAAGAAGAAAACAGGUAAUGAAAGCACAUGGAUGGCACAUAGGGUAGAGCCACCAGUCGGAACACUCAAAACCAGCCAGAUCUACACUUGUGUCAAAUCAUUACGAAUGUGGAAUAAAAAACAGGAUAUAACACUAUGAAUGUGGAUUGUGCCCCAACAGUUAUCAGUGCACUUCAAUAUCGCUAUAAAGCGGUAUAGAUCUAGCCACCUUCCCAACUGUGAGUUCAGGAAUUGCGUUAACAAUAGCUACUAGGCCUCAUCUACACCAAGCAGGAUAUUGCGCUAUGAAAGUGGUAUGAAAGUGGUAUAUAAAAAAGGCAGGAGCCAUGUUACUGCUUUAUAGCGCUAUUGAAGUGCACUGACAAUUGUUGGA
This is a long non-coding RNA of Elgaria multicarinata webbii, 716 nucleotides long. RefSeq lists it as uncharacterized. The transcript has 3 exons. The record is from RefSeq and is a predicted model, not a curated record. Lineage: Eukaryota; Metazoa; Chordata; Lepidosauria; Squamata; Anguidae.